UGCUGGUAGUGAUGCUCACAGGACUGGGAGGUCGGGACUCAAGAAUAACGGGACAAACAGGAUUACUGGGCCUCACUUUUCUCCUAGUGGUGCUCCGAGGGUUGCUCGGCCUCCCCUCAGGUCUGGAAGGCUGUACAUAAGACUGGACCAGGCCAACGGGGCUAACAGGCCGUCUAUUGGGGGGCCGAGGGUUGCUUGGCCUCCCCUCAGGUCUGGAAGGCUGUACGUCAGGCUGGACCAGGCCAACGGGGCUAACAGGCCGUCUAGUGGGGGGCCGAGGGUUGCUUGGCCUCCCCUCAGGUCUGGAAGGCUGUACGUCAGGCUGGACCAGGCCAACGGGGCUAACAGGCCGUCUAGUGGGGCGUCGAGAGUUGCUCGGCCUCCCCUCAGGUCUGGAAGGCUGUACGUCAGGCUGGACCAGGACAACUGGUCUAACAGGCCGUCUUGUGGGGCGUCGAGGGUUGCUAGGCCUCCCCUCAGGUCUAGUGAUGCUGACAGGGAUUCUAGGAAUCAUCAUCUCAUGCUGGUGCAGGCUCUCUGGGCUGCUGGGCCGGGAAUCAGGUAGAAGCUUGUAGUUCUUCAG
RNAcentral lists this long non-coding RNA (583 nucleotides) under Salmo salar (Atlantic salmon). RNAcentral's name for it is "lncRNA (ENSSSAG00000098993.1)". Lineage: Eukaryota; Metazoa; Chordata; Actinopteri; Salmoniformes; Salmonidae. The record is from RNAcentral.